UUCAGAGUAUGGCUUAUGGGCUGUAUUACAAGUCAGAUCCCACAACUAUCAGGUCCCUUCAGAGUAUGGCUUAGGGGCUGUAUUACAAGUCAGAUCCCACAAGUUUCAGGUCCCUUCAGAGUAUGGCUUAGGGGCUGUAUUACAAGUCAGAUCCCACAAGUUUCAGGUCCCUUCAGAGUAUGGCUUAGGGGCUGUAUUACAAGUCAGAUCCCACAAGUUUCAGGUCCCUUCAGAGUAUGGCUUAUGGGCUGUAUUACAAGUCAAAUCCCACAAGUUUCAGGUCCCUUCAGAGUAUGGCUUAUGGGCUGUAUUACAAGUCAGAUCCCACAAGUUUCAGGUCCCAACAAUGUUACUCAUCCCGAAUUCUGUAAGGACCCAAAACUUCUCGGGUUCAUCUGGUAACACGGCCCUGUAAAUGAUUCUUCGUCAGGUUAUUAAAUGAAUACAAACACUUCCACUGCACAUUUGAAUACAAUUACGAUCACUGUUAUUUAUAUUAAUAUCUUGAAUAUGAAUACAAAGGAACCUAUAAGUACUGUGAUCAGACCUACUCAAAUAUGGACACAGCAUGCAAAUUCUCCAUAUGUGAAAAAGCAACUCAGUGAAUCCCUUUUUUGGCCUUUGGAAAUGGUUGACGUGACAGGCGGAGGUGUGUGUCAAAAUACCGCCCUUAGCUCUUAGGCCCAGACACCUCACAAGGCCUGGGAUCGCAUUCUUAAACAUUUCGACGCCCAAGCAGACAUAUUUGACAGGGCUUUCGUAGUGGUUUGGGGCAUUUCCAGGGGUAGUUUUAUGGCCCUGGUGGUAGUUUGACCCUUCCUCUGUACCAUGAACCUACAGAAACACUUAUUAGAACCUGACUGAUCUACUUUUUGACCUUGGGAAAUGGUUGAUGUGUUAGUUAAUACCAGUCCUUACUCAACCAUGGAUCCAGAUACUGUUGUUAUGGGUCCAGCUUAUGGGAAUGGCUUAUAGAACAUCACACAGCUCUACAACACCUCACCUCUGUACCACUUCUUCCUUGGUCUUUUAUUUCAACAUUUUCCCAUCCUUCCUUCUCCCCAUGUGACCGAACCGCCCCGCCCCCUUUUUUUCUUCUCCUUUACAUAUAUUAUGGGUUAUGGUACGCUGCCCUGCCCUCUGACACCAUACCUCUGUGCCAUUUCUUCACUCAGUACUCAGUCUCCUCCAUUUGAGACCAGUCCUGCACCUCAGCGUUCUCCUGUCUUCAGCGUCAAGGCCUGUGUGUGUGUGUGUGUGUAUGUGUGUGUGUGUGUGUGUGUGUCCCAUCCCUACCCUUCCCACCCACUCACAACACUACCCAUGGAGAUACUACUAACACAGCCUCUACCAAAACCUUAACAAAUACCCACAGUGUCUACCAAGCCAGAUUCGUGUGUGUGUGUGAGCCCCAAAAUGGUUGAUAAUGUGAGCUUAAGUGUGAGGAGGGACAUGGGGGAGGAGCUUCUGUGUGUCUGGGUUGGGCAAGAUUGGUGCCUUCAAGUUAGAGGAGCAGUGCUGAGGAGUCUCCUGUGAACGGACUUUGCUUUUUGUGGGCUUUUGAAAUGGUUAAGGGUCUCUUUCACAGUCAUUUUGUUUGGAUGUCACCCAGGCCCUGUGUCCCGGGGUGAUGGGCUCUUACUCAGCACAGGCUCAAAGGGCCAACGGAUCAGAGAUGAGCACCACAGCCACACAGCCCCAGCGUGUGCACCCAGUGACCCAGCUUGACCAUCACCGCAGCCCAGAGGUCCCUUUCCCUAUUCCUCCACCUUAUUCUCUGCCUGUCUGGCGUUAGUGUGCUCCAUCCUGUGCUGGUACUGAUUCCAAUGUCGUGUCCACCUGGUCCUCUGUCUGCCUUGAUUUACAUAACUUCUGGGUUGGGUGUUAUUUUGUUCCUCCAUAAUGCAGUGGUCAGCAGGCCUAGCUACAAAUCUGUGGGCCUGGGUUUGGAUCCUGUUCCAGGCACUCAUCAUGCAGCCCAGCCAUCUGUUGGUGCUCCCUCUGUGGUGUCUAAAUGUGUGGCUGUGUACACCUGGGGGGCGGCACACUGUGGCAACCCGGGUGUCACACUGGCCAUGUAUACCAGAGUGAUGGCUUCAGACCACCACAGGGUACUGGAAUGGUGUGACAGAAUUGAGCACUGAGGCCAUGUGCAGUUGUUGCGUACGCCUCCACCUUUACCUUCCAUGGUCUUCCGUCUGCCCUGACUUCUACAGCUCCUGGGUUGUUGGUGUGUUAGUACUUUUGUUGGUCAUCUGAUAGCAUUUGUACACACGGCCAAGUCCUUUUUCUAUUCCUAACUCUUGAACACACACUGGAUGAGGCUGUGCGGGAGAGAGGCAGGCAGUGGGUGCUCUCUGUAGUGGGGGUUUGAGGUGUGUCCUCUUAGUGUAAUGGUGUCCCUGUAUAUACAACAACAAUGAUAAUAAUUACAGUAACAAUAAGCAAAUGAAUGUAGGUUAGGGACUUUUUUUUCUACACCUGCUAGAAAUAUGCAACAUGUUUGUGUGAAUAUAACAACAACAGGAAUGAUUAUAAUCCCUUGCCUUUCAUCUCCAUGCCAUGUUCAUCCUCAUUCUUGCGGGGGCUUCGUGGUGCAGUGGUUAGCACACUCGGCUCACAACCGAGAGAGCCCGGGUUCGAUUCCCGGGCGGAGUGGAAAAAUUUGGGCGGCUUUUCUGAUACCCUACGCCCCUGUCCACCCAGCAGUGAAUGGGUACCAGGUAUUAAUCGGGGGUUGUGUCCCGUCUCCUGUUCCCUUCUCCUAUAAUUCCUUCCCCUUCUGUCUCUCUCCGGCAUAUGACCACAGAUGUUGCACCGACUAAACGAAACUUUCCAACUUUUUCCUGUCUCCUGGGGUCUGUUCCCUUCUCCUAUAAUUCCUUCCCCUUCUGUCUCUCUCUCUCCGGCAUAUGACCACAGAUGUUGCGCCGACUAAACGAAACUUUCCAACUUUUUCCUGUCUCCUGGGGUCUGUUCCCUUCUCCUAUAAUUCCUUCCCCUUCUGUCUCUCUCCGGCAUAUGACCACAGAUGUUGCACCGACUAAACAAAACUUUCCAACUUUUUCCUGUCUCCUGGGGUCUGUUCCCUUCUCCUAUAAUUCCUUCCCCUUCUGUCUCUCUCCGGCAUAUGACCACAGAUGUUGCGCCCACUAAACAAAACUUUCCAA
This is a long non-coding RNA of Eriocheir sinensis (Chinese mitten crab), 3170 nucleotides long. RefSeq lists it as uncharacterized. The transcript is spliced from 4 exons. NCBI's taxonomy places the organism in Eukaryota, Metazoa, Arthropoda, Malacostraca, Decapoda, Varunidae. The record is from RefSeq and is a predicted model, not a curated record.